Podarcis lilfordi (Lilford's wall lizard) is the source of this 69-nucleotide non-coding RNA. Lineage: Eukaryota; Metazoa; Chordata; Lepidosauria; Squamata; Lacertidae. The record is from the annotation of a GenBank genome assembly.
GUUAGCUCAGUCGGUUAGAGUAUGGUGCUGAUAAUGCCAAGGUUUCAGGUUCGAUACCCAUAUGGGCCA